This 236-nucleotide long non-coding RNA is filed under the name Lathyrus oleraceus (garden pea). Its description in RNAcentral is "Pisum sativum (pea) long non-coding RNA (PSAT_LNC008933)". The record is from RNAcentral. Lineage: Eukaryota; Viridiplantae; Streptophyta; Magnoliopsida; Fabales; Fabaceae.
AUUAAUGUUACCGACAUUUGCAACUUAAACUUGACAUUUUUUCGUUGACUAAUUUUAGGCACAGUUAAAAAGUUAAUUUGACCAGUCUGUUUGUAAAUUCCGAGAAAUUAUUCCGGCUAAUAUUAAGACAAAAAAAAUGUUAUGCUAUGAAGAUGAUGCAAAUGAAUGUGAAACGAAAAAUUGGUUAGAGUUAAAAAUAGAGGGCAAAUUUUGGGGUGCAACACAGUCAAGAAAUA